AUUGACCAUUAAAAAAAGGAUUUGUUCAUUCAUUGAUUUUCGGCCAAAAAAACCAAGACAUUGAUUUAAUACUUAGAGUUUCCAAGAUGAUAGGGCUUGCAAAUUGUUAGCCAUGUUCUUGAUUUAUUUUCAGUUGUAUUUGUUAGAAAAUCGGAUAGGCAGUACGUGUAGAUUUCAAAACUUUGAAAAUAGGUAGCGAAAAAUAAAAUGGAUUAAACCCUUUAACCCCAUAUGCUAGAGAUCAAAUCUAAAUCUAUCCAAGCUCGGGAGAAAGCACAUACCAUGAAUAUGAAAUUUCGAAAAAUUUAUGAGAUCAGAUCUCAUUUUUUUGGCGUGGAUAGAUAUUCACCGCUUUUGAUGAUCUCGGAUUCGUAGAAGGUUGAGCCGCAUACGUGUCCGGACUCUACGGAUAUCCAUCGGGAUCUAUCUCAAACUUCUUUCUUCUCGUAGAAGAUUCUUUCUCUCAAGAAGAAUCUUGAUCUUGAAGACUUUGAUCAAUUGAUCAACUCUUUUGAUCUUAACUGUGAGAUCAACUUCUUGAUUUGCAGCCUUCUUCUUCUUCUUCUCAAUCUGCAAUUUCCAAGUCACCAACACUGCUUUUGGGCGUGUGGAAGAGAGGCACCCAACUUUUGGGUGUGGAAAGGAAGAGAGGGAGGUAGGAGGCAUGGAGAAGGGAG
RNAcentral lists this long non-coding RNA (677 nucleotides) under Elaeis guineensis (African oil palm). RNAcentral's name for it is "long non-coding RNA (EGUI_LNC071144)". The record is from RNAcentral. Lineage: Eukaryota; Viridiplantae; Streptophyta; Magnoliopsida; Arecales; Arecaceae.